AGAGGCCAUGGACAAUGGAGCUGGCAUGACAUUUCUUGCAUUAAAAUUUUCACAUACUAUCCAACAUUACAUUAAAUAUUUACAUACACAAAUAUAUAGUCCAAAAUACCAACUACCACCAAAUAACAAAAAAUGUACAGGCUUGCUCUAAAUUCCCACCACUCCUUUGAACCCAGUCAAUAAUAUCUUUCAUAGUCUCCUUUCCUAGUUAGCUCUAAAAAACUGAGACUUGCCAAUUAACCAGUGUUAAUACUCUCCAACCGUUCUCCAACUACAAACCAAAGCCUACCAUGCCAACAAACAAACAGCAACAGCAAGCAGAAAAUUAAAAACAAAAGGCCAAAAAUGAAACAGGCACAAAGGAUUAGCCCCAUGUCUCAGUUAUCAGCUGAAUCUGAGCUUAUUACAGUCCCUUCACCUUCAAUGGAAAACAUAGGGAGUUUGCUUCCAGGAGUCAUCUUCUUCAGAUCUUGACUCGAGCAUAUAAAGAUUCUUCUAACCAUGUUACAGAAUUCAAGCCAUGGAUCAUCACCAACAAGCAUCAUAUCCCCUUCAUCAUCAGUGUAGACAAUUUCCCACUUAUGACAGUGAAGCUGUCCCUUAAUGUCGAACAUCUCCUCCAGCUCAUCUAAGAGCUGAUCAUACCCUUUCAUCAUGGUCAAGUCUAUGGCCCGACCGACAGCAAUCCCCUGCAUUUGAACCUUGGUGCGACUUCUUGUGGAAGCAGAACAACUUUGCCUGCUCUGAACAUCUUUUGGUGAUACUUGUAAUUGUUCUGGUUUCUUUUCUUUGGACACAUCAGAUUUUUUAUCAGAAUCAACUGCUGAGAGUGUACUCAGAACAUGCCCCUCAGUGGGGCCAACAGAUAUGCUAACUGGUUGUGCAGGUGCCUUCUCAAUCUCAACAGGAAGAGAGCUUGUAAAACGAUUUAUGAGCUCAAUGCCAAAUAAUCGAUAACUAGUACCCGCCUCAUAUUUCCUCCCUUUCUCCACAGGGUCAAGGAUCGAGUCAUUCUUCAACUUUGCAGACUGAGGAGUUGAAUAGCCUGAGAUGACAGGCCAGUUGGAGACACUUUUACUAUCCUCAGUUGCUUCCGGUCUGCUUGUGAUGCCACAUGAAAUGAUUCUCAUUUCUUUUGCCUUCAGCAGUACCAUUCAAUUGUGUUAAAUAGUGGGACUGCGUCAAUGGAGAAUUCCAUGGUUGUGAUGCAGUUGAAGAUAAAUCAAGGGUGGGAAUUUCAAUGGGCGGCCGGGGCCUUUUGCUUUUCACUGCUACUGGUUGAGCCAUAUUUGUUGGUGCUGAAGACACAAAUGGUUCUAUUUCCCAUGGU
This 1330-nucleotide unclassified non-coding RNA is filed under the name Hevea brasiliensis (rubber tree). Lineage: Eukaryota; Viridiplantae; Streptophyta; Magnoliopsida; Malpighiales; Euphorbiaceae. The record is from RNAcentral.